UACGUAGGGGGCGAGCGUUGUCCGGAGUUACUGGGCGUAAAGCGCACGCUGGCGGUCUGCUAAGUUUGGAGUGACAGUUGGUGGCUUAACUGCCAAAGUGCUUCGAAAACUGACAGACUUGAGGGCUUCAGAGGGACACGGAAUUCCGGGUGGAGUGGUGAAAUGCGUAGAGAUCCGGAGGAACACCAAAGGCGAAGGCAGUGUCCUGGGGAGUACCUGACGCUCAGGUGCGAAAGCCAGGGGAGCGAACGGG
This 253-nucleotide ribosomal RNA is filed under the name uncultured bacterium. Its description in RNAcentral is "partial 16S ribosomal RNA". It matches the Rfam family "Bacterial small subunit ribosomal RNA", at positions 524 to 776 of the family's 1533-position model. The record is from RNAcentral.